This 861-nucleotide ribosomal RNA is filed under the name uncultured bacterium. Its description in RNAcentral is "SSU rRNA". It matches the Rfam family "Bacterial small subunit ribosomal RNA", at positions 524 to 1381 of the family's 1533-position model. The record is from RNAcentral.
UACAGAGGUCUCAAGCGUUGUUCGGAAUCACUGGGCGUAAAGGGUGCGUAGGUGGCGUGGUAAGUCAGAUGUGAAAGCCCGGGGCUCAACUCCGGAACUGCAUCCGAUACUGCCGUGCUAGAGCACUGAAGAGGUGACCGGAAUUCUCGGUGUAGCAGUGAAAUGCGUGGAUAUCGAGAGGAACACCAAAGGCGAAGGCAGGUCACUGGGCAGUUGCUGACACUGAGGCACGAAGGCCAGGGUAGCGAACGGGAUUAGAUACCCCGGUAGUCCUGGCAGUAAACGGUGCACGCUUGGUGUGGGGACAUUCGACCGUCUCUGCGCCGGAGCUAACGCGUUAAGCGUGCCGCCUGGGAAGUACGAUCGCAAGAUUAAAACUCAAAGAAAUUGACGGGGACCCGCACAAGCGGUGGAGUAUGUGGCUUAAUUCGAUGCAACGCGAAGAACCUUACCUGGUCUUGACAUGCAUUCUGUCGUCGGUGAAAGCCGGCUAGCGUAGCAAUACGCGGUUUGCACAGGUGCUGCAUGGCUGUCGUCAGCUCGUGUCGUGAGAUGUUGGGUUAAGUCCCGCAACGAGCGCAACCCCUGUGGUUUGUUGCCACCCGGUUUCCGGAGCACUCGAACCAGACUGCCUCGAUCAACGAGGAGGAAGGUGGGGAUGACGUCAAGUCCGUAUGGCCCUUACGGCCAGGGCUGCACACGUACUACAAUGCCCAGUACAGAAUGAACCGAAACCGCGAGGUGGAGGAAAUCUCAAAAACUGGGCCCAGUUCAGAUUGGAGUCUGCAACUCGACUCCAUGAAGUUGGAAUCGCUAGUAAUGGCGCAUCAGCUACGGCGCCGUGAAUACGUUCCCGGGUCU